GACGAACGCUGGCGGCGUGCUUAACACAUGCAAGUCGAACGAUGAAGCCUCUUCGGGGGUGGAUUAGUGGCGAACGGGUGAGUAACACGUGGGCAAUCUGCCCUGCACUUUGGGACAAGCCCUGGAAACGGGGUCUAAUACCGAAUAGGACUGCCGGGCGCAUGCUCUGGUGGUGGAAAGUUUCGGCGGUGCAGGAUGAGCCCGCGGCCUAUCAGCUUGUUGGUGGGGUGAUGGCCUACCAAGGCGACGACGGGUAGCCGGCCUGAGAGGGCGACCGGCCACACUGGGACUGAGACACGGCCCAGACUCCUACGGGAGGCAGCAGUGGGGAAUAUUGCACAAUGGGCGGAAGCCUGAUGCAGCGACGCCGCGUGAGGGAUGACGGCCUUCGGGUUGUAAACCUCUUUCAGCAGGGAAGAAGCCUUCAACGGUGACGGUACCUGCAGAAGAAGCACCGGCUAACUACGUGCCAGCCGCCGCCGGUAAUAC
RNAcentral lists this ribosomal RNA (489 nucleotides) under uncultured bacterium. RNAcentral's name for it is "bacterial SSU rRNA". It matches the Rfam family "Bacterial small subunit ribosomal RNA", at positions 28 to 526 of the family's 1533-position model. The record is from RNAcentral.